GGAAUAUUUAGGCUGGUUCUCCUUCCCAGCUUUAAAAACGAGAUCCAGAAUAUAUACACACACACAUACAUAAAGGACUGGAUACUAAGGAAAAGGAAUCCAAUACCCUAUCCAAAUAAGUGUUAGGUUCAAGAAGGAAGGGAAUCUAGGUUAUCCAAAUGACAGUAUAGGAUAGGACUGGAUACUGAGGGAAAGGAAUCCAAUACCCUAUCCAAAUAACUGUUAGGAUUAAGAAGGAAGGGAAUCUAGGUUAUCCAAAUGACAGUAUAGGAUAGGACUGGAUACUAAGGGGAAGGGAAUCCAAUACCCUAUCCAAAUAAGUGUUAGGAUUAAGAAGGAAGGGAAUCUAGGUUAUCCAAAUGACAGUAUAGGAUAGGACUGGAUACUAAGGGAAAGGAAUCCAAUACCCUAUCCAAAUAAGUGUUAGGUUCAAGAAGGAAGGGAAUCUAGGUUAUCCAAAUGACAGUAUAGGAUAGGACUGGAUACUGAGGGAAAGGAAUCCAAUACCCUAUCCAAAUAAGUGUUAGGAUCGAGAGAGGGGAAGGGAAUCCAAUACCCUAUCCAAAUAAGUGUUAGGUUCAAGAAGGAAGGGAAUCUAGGUUAUCCAAAUGACAGUAUAGGAUAGGACUGGAUACUGAGGGAAAGGAAUCCAAUACCCUAUCCAAAUAACUGUUAGGAUUAAGAAGGAAGGGAAUCUAGGUUAUCCAAAUGACAGUAUAGGAUAGGACUGGAUACUGAGGGAAAGGAAUCCAAUACCCUAUCAAAAUAAGUGUUAGGUUCAAGAAGGAAGGGAAUCUAGGUUAUCCAAAUGACAGUAUAGGAUAGGACUGGAUACUGAGGGAAAGGAAUCCAAUACCCUAUCCAAAUAAGUGUUAGGUUCAAGAAGGAAGGGAAUCUAGGCUAUCCAAAUGACAGUAUAGGAUAGGACUAGAUACUGAGGGAAAGGAAUCCAAUACCCUAUCCAAAUAAUUGUUAGGAUUAAGAAGGAAGGGAAUCUAGGUUAUCCAAAUGACAGUAUAGGAUAGGACUGGAUACUGAGGGAAAGGAAUCCAAUACCCUAUCCAAAUAAGUGUUAGGUUCAAGAAGGAAGGGAAUCUAGGUUAUCCAAAUGACAGUAUAGGAUAGGACUGGAUACUGAGGGAAAGGAAUCCAAUACCCUAUCCAAAUAAGUGUUAGGUUCAAGAAGGAAGGGAAUCUAGGUUAUCCAUAUGACAGUAUAGGAUAGGACUAGAUACUGAGGGAAAGGAAUCCAAUACCCUAUCCAAAUAAC
This is a long non-coding RNA of Eriocheir sinensis (Chinese mitten crab), 1270 nucleotides long. RefSeq lists it as uncharacterized. The record is from RefSeq and is a predicted model, not a curated record. Lineage: Eukaryota; Metazoa; Arthropoda; Malacostraca; Decapoda; Varunidae. The transcript has 3 exons.